Molecule: long non-coding RNA, 571 nt
Filed under: Homo sapiens (human)
Lineage: Eukaryota; Metazoa; Chordata; Mammalia; Primates; Hominidae
Description: HSALNT0068507
Source: RNAcentral
CUCUGGUUGCUGUGUGGAGGCUGGAGGAUCCAGGGAGCCCCCCAGGAGGCUGCUGCACUAGUCCAGCAAAAGAAAGAAGGAAUUAUGGGAGUAAGGACUAGAGACGGAAGGUGAGAAAAGACGGAGCGAGGAGGAAUCAGGAAUGGAAGCAGAGAAGCACAAGGACAGCUGAGAGAAGAGCACAAGGAGAAGAAGAGGAAAAGACCCUGUGUGUCCAUCACAGGGAAGAUGGAGGGGAUGCAAUGCCCUGGCGUAUAAGUGACAGAUUUCACCACCACUUCACAGCAACAUGAUGGAUCUUAAGACCUCACACAAGGCUGAGAAGGAAGAAAGAAAGAAGGAAGGAAGGAGAAGGAAGAAAGGACAGGAGGAAAGAAAGAAGAAAGGGAGAAAUUGAGAUAUAGGACCCAACACGUCCUACAAAAAUAUAUAUAUCCAUACAAAUAGCAGCACAUAUUUUAUAAUUGAAAAGUACACGUCAAAACUGUAGAACGGUUGACUAUGGGACGAACGGAGCUGGGAUAUGGGGCUAAGAGGGAAGAAAUCAGAGAAAAUAAAGGCUUUCUCCUAC